This 397-nucleotide ribosomal RNA is filed under the name uncultured bacterium. RNAcentral's name for it is "partial 16S ribosomal RNA". It matches the Rfam family "Bacterial small subunit ribosomal RNA", at positions 523 to 918 of the family's 1533-position model. The record is from RNAcentral.
AUACGGAGGGUGCGAGCGUUAAUCGGAAUUACUGGGCGUAAAGGGCGCGUAGGUGGUGCGUUGAGUCAGCUGUGAAAGCCCUGGGCUUAACCUGGGAAUGGCAGUUGAGACUGGCGUGCUGGAGUGCGACAGAGGACGGUGGAAUUCCCGGUGUAGCGGUGAAAUGCGUAGAGAUGUGGAGGAACUCCGAUGGCGAAGGCAGCCCCCUGGGUCGACACUGACGCUCAUGCACGAAAGCGUGGGGAGCAAACAGGAUUAGAUACCCUGGUAGUCCACGCCCUAAACGAUGCGAACUAGGUGUUGGGGAAGGAGACUUCUUUAGUACCGUAGCUAACGCGUGAAGUUGACCGCCUGGGGAGUACGGCCGCAAGGUUGAAACUCAAAUGAAUUGACGGGG